This 163-nucleotide ribosomal RNA is filed under the name Garcinia hombroniana. RNAcentral describes it as "5.8S ribosomal RNA". It matches the Rfam family "5.8S ribosomal RNA". Rfam says of the family: 5.8S ribosomal RNA (5.8S rRNA) is a component of the large subunit of the eukaryotic ribosome. It is transcribed by RNA polymerase I as part of the 45S precursor that also contains 18S and 28S rRNA. The record is from RNAcentral. Lineage: Eukaryota; Viridiplantae; Streptophyta; Magnoliopsida; Malpighiales; Clusiaceae.
AAAUGACUCUCGGCAACGGAUAUCUCGGCUCUUGCAUCGAUGAAGAACGUAGCGAAAUGCGAUACGUGGUGUGAAUUGCAGAAUCCCGUGAACCAUCGAGUUUUUGAACGCAAGUUGCGCCCAAAGCCUUUUGGUUGAGGGCACGUCUGCCUGGGUGUCACAU